RNAcentral lists this ribosomal RNA (497 nucleotides) under uncultured bacterium. RNAcentral describes it as "partial 16S ribosomal RNA". It matches the Rfam family "Bacterial small subunit ribosomal RNA", at positions 29 to 507 of the family's 1533-position model. The record is from RNAcentral.
AGUGAACGCUGGCGGUAGGCCUAAUACAUGCAAGUCGAACGGCAGCACAGUAAGAUUUCGCCUCUACGGGUGGCGACUGACGGACGGGUGAGGCAUACAUCGGAUUCUUCUUUUUCGGGGGGGACAACGUAGGGCAACUGAUGCUACCACCGCAUAUGUCCUACGGCAUAAAUCAAUAGAGCUUGGCACUUUUCGCGUCUGAAUUAGCUGAAUCCGUGUCGGAUUAGCUAGUUGGUAAGGUAACGGCUCACCAAGGCAACGAUGCGUAGCUGAUCUGAGAGGAUGAUCAGCCACACUGGAACUGAGACACGGUCCAGACUCCUACGGGAGGCAGCAGUAGGGAAUCUUCCGCAAUGGGCGAAAGCCUGAUGCAGCAAUGCCGCGUGAGUGAUGAAGGCCUUCGGAUUGUAAAGCCCUUUUGUUGGGAAAGAAAAGCAGCAGAUUAAUCCACCGCUGUUCUGACGGUACCCAAACAGUAAGCACCGGCUAACUUCGUG